This 1346-nucleotide ribosomal RNA is filed under the name uncultured bacterium. RNAcentral's name for it is "partial 16S ribosomal RNA". It matches the Rfam family "Bacterial small subunit ribosomal RNA", at positions 28 to 1381 of the family's 1533-position model. The record is from RNAcentral.
GACGAACGCUGGCGGCGUGCUUAACACAUGCAAGUCGAACGGAAAGGCCCUGCUUUUGUGGGGUGCUCGAGUGGCGAACGGGUGAGUAACACGUGAGUAACCUGCCCUUGACUUUGGGAUAACUUCAGGAAACUGGGGCUAAUACCGGAUAGGAGCUCCUGCUGCAUGGUGGGGGUUGGAAAGUUUCGGCGGUUGGGGAUGGACUCGCGGCUUAUCAGCUUGUUGGUGGGGUAGUGGCUUACCAAGGCUUUGACAGGUAGCCGGCCUGAGAGGGUGACCGGCCACAUUGGGACUGAGAUACGGCCCAGACUCCUACGGGAGGCAGCAGUGGGGAAUACUGCACAAUGGGCGGAAGCCUGAUGCAGCAACGCCGCGUGCGGGAUGACGGCCUUCGGGUUGUAAACCGCUUUCGCCUGUGACGAAGCGUGAGUGACGGUAAUGGGUAAAGAAGCACCGGCUAACUACGUGCCAGCAGCCGCGGUGAUACGUAGGGUGCGAGCGUUGUCCGGAUUUAUUGGGCGUAAAGGGCUCGUAGGUGGUUGAUCGCGUCGGAGGUGUAAUCUUGGGGCUUAACCCUGAGCGUGCUUUCGAUACGGGUUGACUUGAGGAAGGUAGGGGAGAAUGGAAUUCCUGGUGGAGCGGUGGAAUGCGCAGAUAUCAGGAGGAACACCAGUGGCGAAGGCGGUUCUCUGGGCCUUUCCUGACGCUGAGGAGCGAAAGCGUGGGGAGCGAACAGGCUUAGAUACCCUGGUAGUCCACGCUGUAAACGGUGGGUACUAGGUGUGGGGUCCAUUCCACGGGUUCCGUGCCGUAGCUAACGCUUUAAGUACCCCGCCUGGGGAGUACGGCCGCAAGGCUAAAACUCAAAGGAAUUGACGGGGCCCCGCACAAGCGGCGGAGCAUGCGGAUUAAUUCGAUGCAACGCGUAGAACCUUACCUGGGUUUGACAUGGAUCGGGAGUGCUCAGAGAUGGGUGUGCCUCUUUUGGGGUCGGUUCACAGGUGGUGCAUGGCUGUCGUCAGCUCGUGUCGUGAGAUGUUGGGUUAAGUCCCGCAACGAGCGCAACCCUUGUUCACUGUUGCCAGCACGUUAUGGUGGGGACUCAGUGGAGACCGCCGGGGUCAACUCGGAGGAAGGUGGGGAUGACGUCAAGUCAUCAUGCCCCUUAUGUCCAGGGCUUCACGCAUGCUACAAUGGCUGGUACAGAGAGUGGCGAGCCUGUGAGGGUGAGCGAAUCUCGGAAAGUCGGUCUCAGUUCGGAUUGGGGUCUGCAACUCGACCUCAUGAAGUCGGAGUCGCUAGUAAUCGCAGAUCAGCAACGCUGCGGUGAAUACGUUCCCGGGGCU